AUGGUUGUGUUAUUCAUCUCUGUUGUACAGAUGAAGAGACUGAGGCUGAAAGAGCACAGGAAACUUGCCCAGGCCACUGUGUGGAAGAGCUCAUCUGAUUCCAAACCCACACCUAUCCGCAUGUACCAUCCUGCCGCUUUGCACCCAGCCCCAUACUCUGCAGACAUGGGGAUGAUGGUCCUUACCCUGUUGCUGUGCAUAGGUGGUGUGAAGGUUAAGAAUUAUUUUGUAAAUUGCAAAAAAUAUACCAGCACAUAUCUGUGGAGUAUGGUUAUUAUCAAUAAAAUUAUUGAUUCCAGAUAGAAAAAUAAUAUUGAUAAAUGAAGUAAGCUUUAUUUUUAUAAAACAUAAAUGCUUAGGUUUAUUUGUUUUUUUAUUAGAU
Molecule: long non-coding RNA, 382 nt
Filed under: Callithrix jacchus (white-tufted-ear marmoset)
Lineage: Eukaryota; Metazoa; Chordata; Mammalia; Primates; Cebidae
Description: lncRNA (ENSCJAG00000073597.1)
Source: RNAcentral